CGUGCGACGCCCCAAACCCCGAGAAGGGGCGGUGCUAGGGGUGGUGACCGGAAGCCGCUGCGGUUCUCAGCCGGGGGUUCAGAGUUGCUGUCGGGAGGUUGUCGCUGCUGUGUGCUGGAGGGCUGCGGAGGUGAUGGGCGGCCCGGGAGGGUUUCUUGGUGUCUCUGUGGAGUCCCUGGGCCAGACCCCAUAGCGAAGGCUGCAGGAUCUUCUCCGGCCCCAGCAGCUCUGGUUGAGUCCACAGACCCUGCCUGGCCUCAGGCUCCUGGGAAGAGCAGAGUUGUCAGCAAGAGAGCCCGAGGGCUGAGGCCCAGCCGGAACAUGCCAGCUAACCAGAAUUCUCCCGGGCCAUCCCUGGCCCUGACUGCAGGGGGACGUGACAACUCCUGUGAGGGAGCGGCUGAAAGGAGACGAUCUUUCUGGGCACAGCCGUAUUCCUUGACUAAACUGCCUUACUAAGAUGUGUGGAUCAGGAGGACGUGAGCGAGGUGGAGUCUG
This 498-nucleotide long non-coding RNA is filed under the name Equus asinus (donkey). RNAcentral's name for it is "lncRNA (ENSEASG00005024393.1)". Lineage: Eukaryota; Metazoa; Chordata; Mammalia; Perissodactyla; Equidae. The record is from RNAcentral.